AUGCUGCGUCAGGAUAUCACGGCGGGUACGCGGCAGCAGUCGUGGGCUCUCUCCGACGGCCUCGUCACUUUCAACGGCCGCCUCUACAUUCCGCCGUCGUCCCCGCUACUCCAGGAGAUUCUCAGUGCCGUGCACGAUGAUGGGCAUGAAGGCGUCCUGCGCACCUUGCAUCGUCUCCGCCGCGACUUCCAUGCACCUAACCUUCGCAAGACGGUGCAAGAGUACAUCCGCACUUGCAGUACUUGCCAGAGGUACAAGUCCGAGCACUUGCACCCCGCUGGGCUGUUGCUGCGGCUGCCGGUGCCCACGGGCGUGUGGACUGACGUCGGCAUCGACUUCGUGGAAGCGCUCCCUCGCGUGGGUGGGAAAUCUGUCAUCCUCACCGUGGUGGAUCGCUUCAGCAAGUAUUGCCACUUUGUGGCGCUGGCCCACCCGUACACGGCAGAAUCAGUGGCGCAGGUGUUCUUCGCUGAGAUUGUUCGUCUCCAUGGCGUGCCGCAGUCCAUGGUCUCUGACCGUGACCCCGUCUUCACCUCGGCUUUUUGGCGGGAGCUCAUGCGCCUCACCGGGACAAAGCUGCACAUGACGUCAGCGUUUCAUCCACAGUCGGAUGGCCAAACGGAGGCUGCUAACAAGAUCAUUGUGAUGUACCUACGUUGUCUCACCGGGGAUCGUCCCAGGCAGUGGCUCCGGUGGCUUCCCUGGGCCGAGUACAUCUACAACACCGCCUACCAGACAGCGACCCAAGAAACUCCGUUCAAGCUUGUGUAUGGCCGUGACCCUCCCACUAUUCGCUCUUACGAGCCGGGCGACACGAGGGUAGCCGCAGUGGCCAGGAGCAUGGCGGAGCGCGACGAGCUUCUCGAGGACGUCCGCUAUCGUCUACAACAGGCACAGGCGGUCUACAAGUCCUACUACGACAGACGCCAUCGGGACAUUCGGCAUGACGUGGGCGAUUGGGUCUGGCUUCGCCUUCGCCAGCGCGCCGCGUCCUCUCUCAACUUGCCAACCAGGGGCAAGCUCAAGCCACGCUUCUAUGGGCCGUACCGCAUUUCAGAGGUCGUCAACGACGUGGCUUACCGCCUUGAGCUUCCGGCACGCUCGCGCCUCCAUGACGUGUUCCACGUGGGCCUCCUCAAGAAGUUCUUCGGCACGCCUCCAACUGCACCGCCGGGUUUGCCUCCGAUCCACAACGGAGCGGCUGUUCCAGAACCGGAGCGCGUGACUCAUGCGCGCCUAGCACGCGGCGUUCGCCAGCUACUCGUCCACUGGAAGGGUGAAGCAGCAUCAUCAGCUACAUGGGAGGAUCUUGACAGUUUCGUCGAGCGCUACCCCGCUUUUCAGCUCGAGGACGAGCUGCUCGUCGAGGGGGGAAGAGAUGUCAUGUGGGGCACGUCCUACAGGCGUGGGCCACGCGGCCAGGAGCAGCAGCCGUCGACCGCAUCAGGCGAGGCGUAG
Molecule: ribosomal RNA, 1458 nt
Filed under: Triticum aestivum (bread wheat)
Lineage: Eukaryota; Viridiplantae; Streptophyta; Magnoliopsida; Poales; Poaceae
Description: partial small subunit ribosomal RNA
Source: RNAcentral